RNAcentral lists this ribosomal RNA (472 nucleotides) under uncultured bacterium. RNAcentral describes it as "bacterial SSU rRNA". It matches the Rfam family "Bacterial small subunit ribosomal RNA", at positions 355 to 825 of the family's 1533-position model. The record is from RNAcentral.
UCGGGAAUUUUGGGCAAUGGGGGGAACCCUGAUCCAGCAAUGCCGCGUGUGUGAAGAAGGCCUGAGGGUUGUAAAGCACUUUCAGAGGGGAGGAGGACUAUUAGGUUAAGAGCUAGAUAGUUGGACGUUACCCUCAGAAGCAGCACCGGCUAACUCCGUGCCAGCAGCCGCGGUAAUACGGGGGGUGCAAGCGUUAAUCGGAAUGACUGGGCGUAAAGGGCGCGUAGGUGGAUGCGUAAGUAAAUUGUGAAAGACCCGGGCUUAACCUGGGAAGGUCAAUUUAAACGGCGUAUCUAGAGUGGAGUAGAGGGAAGUAGAAUUUCCGGUGUAGCGGUGAAAUGCGUAGAUAUCGGAAGGAAUACCGGUGGCGAAGGCGUCUUCCUGGACUCUAACUGACACUGAGGCGCGAAAGCAUGGGGAUCAAACAGGAUUAGAUACCCCCGUAGUCCCUGAGCGGGCUGGCAAGGCGCAU